CGGGGGGAGGGUGAAUUGGUGAGAUUUAAAAAUCAUAGUCUUUAUAAAAUCCUUUUUGGAAAAGUACAAACCUUUACAAAAUCGUAAGGAAUGAAAAUUUUAAGUGCAGCGGAAAUGUAAAGUUGACUACGUAAAGAGUAAAGUCAACUUAAUGUAAAAGUUUAAGGAUAGAGAAUUCAAACACAAAGUUUUUAUACUGGUUCUGCCUCAAUGCCUACAUCUAGUGUCCUUCCACAGCCAAGAAGCAAAUGCACUAUAAUGGUCAAGGUUUUUACAACAAGGCUUUUAUAUAGACCUCCACAUCAAAAAUAUAAAACACCUCUAUAACCCUAUAACCAAAAUAUGGGCAACAACACAAAGAUCUGCAGCAAUAUAUCCCCUCUUCUGCAAUCUUCAACCCAUUUUGAACAAUCCUCAAAGUGUCAGAACUCCACAAGUCCACCUCUUCUAAUCACAACAGCAAAACAACAAUCUUUCCAAAGAUUGAUAGAAAACUUGAUCAAUAUGAACACCAGUUGUGCAGUAUGAUUAAAUAGUACGCGCAAUGAUACUCCUCUUUAAGAAAC
RNAcentral lists this long non-coding RNA (566 nucleotides) under Vigna radiata. Its description in RNAcentral is "long non-coding RNA (VRAD_LNC015947)". Lineage: Eukaryota; Viridiplantae; Streptophyta; Magnoliopsida; Fabales; Fabaceae. The record is from RNAcentral.